AUUGAACGCUGGCGGCAUGCCUUACACAUGCAAGUCGAACGGCAGCACGGGGCAACCUGGUGGCGAGUGGCGAACGGGUGAGUAAUAUAUCGGAACGUACCCUAGAGUGGGGGAUAACGUAGCGAAAGUUACGCUAAUACCGCAUACGAUCUACGGAUGAAAGCAGGGGACCGCAAGGCCUUGCGCUCAUGGAGCGGCCGAUAUCUGAUUAGCUAGUUGGUAGGGUAAAAGCCUACCAAGGCAUCGAUCAGUAGCUGGUCUGAGAGGACGACCAGCCACACUGGGACUGAGACACGGCCCAGACUC
This 306-nucleotide ribosomal RNA is filed under the name uncultured bacterium T2784c. RNAcentral's name for it is "bacterial SSU rRNA". It matches the Rfam family "Bacterial small subunit ribosomal RNA", at positions 30 to 338 of the family's 1533-position model. The record is from RNAcentral.